Molecule: transfer RNA, 68 nt
Filed under: Cryptocelis alba
Lineage: Eukaryota; Metazoa; Platyhelminthes; Polycladida; Cryptocelidae
Description: tRNA-Asp
Source: RNAcentral
AAAAAGUUAGUAUAUAAUAAUUAUAAUUGGUUGUCGGCCAAUAGAUGAGAGUUUACUCCCACUUUUUG